CCCUACUGCUAUCGGGGUGGGACUAAGACAUGCGAGUCGGGCGUCUCUAGUUAUGGUGAGACGCGGCAGACGGCUCAGUAACACGUGGCUAACCUACCCUCAGGACAGGGACAAACCCGGGAAACUGGGGCUAAUACCCGAUAGGCGAGGGCGCCUGGAAUGGUUCUUCACCCAAAGGGCUUUGGAAGCAUGCUUUUCAAAGUCGCCUGGGGAUGGGGCCGCGUCCGAUCAGGUUGUUGGUGAGGUAACGGCUCACCAAGCCUAUAACCGGUACGGGCCGUGAGAGCGGUAGCCCGGAGAUGGGCACUGAGACAAGGGCCCAGGCCCUACGGGGCGCAGCAGUCGCGAAAACUCCGCAAUGCACGAAAGUGUGACGGGGCUACCCCGAGUGCCGUCCGCUGAGGAUGGCUUUUCCUCGGUGUAACUAGCCGGGGGAAUAAGGAGAGGGCAAGACUGGUGUCAGCCGCCGCGGUAAUACCAGCUCUCCGAGUGGUAGGGAUGAUUAUUGGGCUUAAAGCGUCCGUAGCCGGCUUAGCAAGUCUCCCGUUAAAUUCAGCGACCUAAUCGUUGAGCCGCGGGAGAUACUACUAGGCUAGGAGGCGGGAGAGGCCGACGGUACUUCCGGGGUAGGGGUGAAAUCCUAUAAUCCCGGGCGGACCACCAGUGGCGAAGGCUGUCGGCUAGAACGCGCUCGACGGUGAGGGACGAAAGCUGGGGUAGCGAACCGGAUUAGAUACCCGGGUAGUCCCAGCCGUAAACGAUGCGGGCUAGGUGUUGGGGUGGCUACGUGCCACUUCAGUGCCGCAGGGAAGCCAUUAAGCCCGCCGCCUGGGGAGUACGGCCGCAAGGCUGAAACUUAAAGGAAUUGGCGGGGGAGCACCACAAGGCGUGAAGCUUGCGGUUC
This 904-nucleotide ribosomal RNA is filed under the name uncultured archaeon. Its description in RNAcentral is "bacterial SSU rRNA". It matches the Rfam family "Archaeal small subunit ribosomal RNA", at positions 21 to 903 of the family's 1478-position model. The record is from RNAcentral.